AGAGUUUGAUCCUGGCUCAGAGCGAACGCUGGCGGCAGGCCUAACACAUGCAAGUCGAACGAACUCUUCGGAGUUAGUGGCGGACGGGUGAGUAACACGUGGGAACGUGCCUUUAGGUUCGGAAUAGCUCCUGGAAACGGGUGGUAAUGCCGAAUGUGCCCUUCGGGGGAAAGAUUUAUCGCCUUUAGAGCGGCCCGCGUCUGAUUAGCUAGUUGGUGGGGUAAUGGCCCACCAAGGCUACGAUCAGUAGCUGGUCUGAGAGGAUGACCAGCCACAUUGGGACUGAGACACGGCCCAAACUCCUACGGGAGGCAGCAGUGGGGAAUCUUGCGCAAUGGGCGAAAGCCUGACGCAGCCAUGCCGCGUGUAUGAUGAAGGUCUUAGGAUUGUAAAAUACUUUCACCGGUGAAGAUAAUGACUGUAGCCGGAGAAGAAGCCCCGGCUAACUUCGUGCCAGCAGCCGCGGUAAUACGAAGGGGGCUAGCGUUGCUCGGAAUUACUGGGCGUAAAGGGAGCGUAGGCGGACAUUUAAGUCAGAGGUGAAAUCCCGGAGCUUAACUUCGGAACUGCCUUUGAUACUGGGUGUCUUGAGUGUGAGAGAGGUAUGUGGAACUCCGAGUGUAGAGGUGAAAUUCGUAGAUAUUCGGAAGAACACCAGUGGCGAAGGCGACUCACUGGCCCGAUACUGACGCUGAGGCGCGAAAGCGUGGGGAGCAAACAGGAUUAGAUACCCUGGUAGUCCAA
RNAcentral lists this ribosomal RNA (744 nucleotides) under uncultured bacterium. Its description in RNAcentral is "bacterial SSU rRNA". It matches the Rfam family "Bacterial small subunit ribosomal RNA", at positions 8 to 798 of the family's 1533-position model. The record is from RNAcentral.